AUGUCGCAAAUGGGAUCCAUGGUCGUGGACGAGAAACACACCUGGGCGAUGGAGGAGCAAGGCUGGACCUCCCCACCCUGGGAUCAAUCCUCGGUCGAGGCCGCGUGGCGGAGCGAGGCCAGGUUGUAUAAUCAUUUCAAGGUCUGGCAAAUCUCCAACAAGACCAAGAAGGGGAAGGGCAAAGAGGCGUUUAUCGGUCUCCUCCUGGAGGCCCUCCGCGCCGCUAGGAAGAGCGCCCGGGACCUGGAAGAACAAGUGACUCGGUGGCGGAGACGGGUCGAGGAGGCCGAGCGAGAUGCGGCCAUGUGGAACUUCGGGGCGCUAACUGAGCGAGUGCGCCUAUUAGAGGAGAAGGUAGAGCCCAUCGUCCUGGUCCGUCUGGAGCAGCACCUACUUCAGUGCCUGAAGCAGUACCUCCAGGUCCCCAUCCCCGUCGACCAAACUAGGGCGGGCCCGGACGAGGACGACCCUGAAUGGGCCCGGCCCUCCGAGCCCGACCGCCUCCCUGGUGAGGAUGAGGAUGACCCCUGUGGAAUAGGGAAGACACCCAGGAAUACCGAUUUGGGGAGCUCCCCUACAGCCUCCGCUCGUCAGGUCGUUAAGGUGAGGGGCGUCUCGCCAGGCCUUGGAGCCCGGGGAGCGGCGGCCGGGAGGCCUGAUCGAAUGAUACCCGUGAACCGUUUUACCUGGGAGGAGUUGGUCGGCCUGCAGGAGCGGUUCCGGAAACAGCCGACCGAAAAUUGGCUGGACUGGCUCCACCGCCUGUGGAGAGGAGGGGGGACGCUGGCCCUUUUACUCCCCGAAGAGGCACGGGGUCUUCAGAUCGCCCACGGCCGGCAGUUGGCACCACCCCCGGACGCGGGGCCUACCUUUUCGCUCUGGGACAGCGCCCUCCAACUAGUCAGGGGUAUUCCUUGGGAGGACUGUGUCUGGAUGGCAGAGAGGUGGUCUACCCUAGAGCACUUGGAAAGGUUGUUGGAAAAACUGGCCAUAGAGACCCUCCUAAGGAAACAGUGGGAAGAUGGGAACGAUCCCAUGGCCCAGACCGUCUCGGUGAGCUCCGUGCAGAGGCUCGCCAGGCAGGCCGCCCCGGGAUUACCUCAACUCGUCGUGCUGAGCGCCUUCGCCCAGACCAGAGGUCCGGCUGUGGGCCACCCCACUUUCAGCGACCUCAUCUCCCAAGCCAUCAAGUACUGGGAUCUAAGUCGUCCUCCGGUUGAGAGGCGAGUCCGGGAACCGAGGACCGCUGUGGUGACUAGAGAGCGGGAGCUUGGGAGAUUUUGGUCCCCAAGUCCCAGGGCAGGCGAGACCAAGAGGAUCGAGGGGCCAGGAUGCCCCCGAGACGGACCCCGGCAGGAUAAGCGGCGGAACCUCUGGCGGUGGUUGACCCAGGAGGGGGGUUUUACGAGGGAACAGAUAGAUGGACUCCCCACCCAGGUCCUCCAACAGCUGUGGGACGGACGGUCCAGGGGGGAGGGAGAGAAGCCCUCCAGAGGGAGAAACGGGCUGGGGACCCCGAGCGACCCUUCCUCCCGGUGGUUCGAAUAG
This 1548-nucleotide long non-coding RNA is filed under the name Ornithorhynchus anatinus (platypus). RNAcentral describes it as "lncRNA (ENSOANG00000038277.1)". The record is from RNAcentral. Lineage: Eukaryota; Metazoa; Chordata; Mammalia; Monotremata; Ornithorhynchidae.